Molecule: transfer RNA, 72 nt
Filed under: Marmota marmota marmota (Alpine marmot)
Lineage: Eukaryota; Metazoa; Chordata; Mammalia; Rodentia; Sciuridae
Also listed under: 1 other name
Rfam family: tRNA
About the family: Transfer RNA (tRNA) molecules are approximately 80 nucleotides in length.
Source: Rfam by way of RNAcentral
UGGGUUGUAGCUCAGGGUUAGAGUGCUUGCUUCGCAUGCAUGAGGCACUGAGUUCUAUCCUCAGCACCACAU